Molecule: ribosomal RNA, 252 nt
Filed under: Salmonella enterica subsp. enterica serovar Anatum
Lineage: Bacteria; Pseudomonadati; Pseudomonadota; Gammaproteobacteria; Enterobacterales; Enterobacteriaceae
Description: partial 23S ribosomal RNA
Rfam family: Bacterial large subunit ribosomal RNA
Source: RNAcentral
AAAUUAGCGGAUGACCUGUGGCUGGGGGUGAAAGGCCAAUCAAACCGGGAGAUAGCUGGUUCUCCCCGAAAGCUAUUUAGGUAGCGCCUCGUGAAUUCAUCUCCGGGGGUAGAGCACUGUUUCGGCUCCGGCACCACCGAUCUGUACAUCAACGGCAUCGGCGAUGGAGCACAGACCACUAACGGUAUCGAAGUGGUGGAUGUUGGCGGCGUAUCGACCAGCGAUGCGUUUGUGUUAAAAAAUGAGGUUAAC